GCUGCCUUGGCACUAGAAGGCGAUGAAGGACGUGCAAACCUGCGAAAAGCUACGGGGAGCUGGUUGGAAGCGAUAAUCCGUAGAUGUCCGAAUGGGGGAACCUGAUUAAUAGAGAUAUUAAUUAUUUAGAUCUGAAUUCAUAGGGUCUAAAAGCGAUACGUUGUGAAGUGAAACAUCUCAGUAGCAACAGGAAAAGAAAUCGAAAGAGAUUCCGUGUGUAGUGGCGAGCGAAAGCGGAAGAGGCCAAACCAAGAUUUAUCUUGGGGUUAUAGGACUGUGACAUGGACUUUGAAUUGAUAGGAGAAGUAGUUGAAAAGCUACGCAAUAUAGGGUUAUAGCCCCGUAUCUUAAAUUGGUUCAAUACCUAACAGUAUCCUGAGUACAUCGAGAAACGUUAUCUUGAUGGAAUUCGCCCAGACCAUUGGGCAAGCCUAAAUACUAACUAGUGACCGAUAGCGUAUAGUACCGUGAGGGAAAGGUGAAAAGAACCCAGGGAUGGGAGUGAAAUAGAUUCUGAAACCAUAUGCCUACAACGUGUCAGAGCACAUUAAUGUGUGAUGGCGUGCGUUUUGAAGUAUGAGCCGGCGAGUUAUGAUAGCAAGCAGGUUAACCUUUAGAAGGGAAGCCAAAGCGAAAGCGAGUUUGAAUAGAGCGACACAUAUGUUUGUUAUUAUAGACCCGAAACGGGUUGAGCUAGUCAUGGGCAGGUUGAAGUUAGAGUAACAUCUAAUGGAGGACCGAACCGACUUUCGUUGAAACGACAGCGGAUGACCUGUGACUAGGGGUGAAAUUCCAAUCGAAAUCCGUGAUAGCUGGUUCUCGUCGAAAUAGUUUUAAGACUAGCGUAAGAUAAUGAUUAGUUGGAGGUAGAGCUACUGAAUGUAUGAUGGCGCCGCCUUGGUGUACUGAAUACAAUUAAACUCCGAAUGCCAAUUAAUUUACUCUUGCAGUCAGACAGUGGGGGAUAAGCUUCAUUGUCACAAGGGGAAGAGCCCAGAUCAUUAAAUAAGGUCCCUAAAAUAUGCUAAGUGGAAAAGGUUGUUAAAAUACUUAAACAGCAAGGAUGUUGGCUUAGAAGCAGCCAUCGUUUAAAGAGUGCGUAACAGCUCACUUGUCGAGUGUUUUUGCGCCGAAGAUGUAACGGGGCUAAGCAUAUUACCGAAUUUAUGGAUUAUCUAUUUAUUUAGAUAGUGGUAGACGAGCGUUGUAUAUGGGGUGAAGUCAAACCGUGAGGAUUGGUGGACUGUAUACAAGUGAGAAUGCCGGUGUAAGUAACGCUUGAGAGUGAGAAUCUCUCAAACCGAUUGACUAAGGUUUCCUGGACGAGGGUCGUCCUUCCAGGGUUAGUCUGGACCUAAGGCGAGGCAGAAAUGCGUAGUCGAUGGAAGAACAGGUUAAUAUUCCUGUACAAACAAAUAGCUGAUGGAGUGACGGAGAAGGUUAAUGCAUCCCCAUUAUUGGAUUUGGGGUUAAAUAAGAAGUCUUAAGAGUUGGCAAAUCCGCUCUUUNNCUUCUGAGUUAACUAUUUGUUUCCAGUACCGAGAACGAACACACGUGGUCAAGGAGAAGAUCCUAAGGUUAGCGAGUGAACUAUAGCUAAGGAACUCUGCAAAUUCAUCCCGUAAGUUCGCAAGAAGGGAUGCUCAAUGUAAAAGUUGAGCCGCAGUGAAGAACGAGGGGGGACUGUUUAACUAAAACACAGCUCUAUGCUAAAUCGCAAGAUGAUGUAUAUGGGGUGACACCUGCCCAGUGCUGGAAGGUUAAAGAAGCGUGUUAGAGCAAUCAAAGCUCGCGACUGAAGCCCCAGUGAACGGCGGCCGUAACUAUAACGGUCCUAAGGUAGCGAAAUUCCUUGUCGGGUAAAUUCCGUCCCGCUUGAAUGGUGUAACCAUCUCUUGACUGUCUCGGCUAUAGACUCGGUGAAAUCCAGGUACGGGUGAAGACACCCGUUAGGCGCAACGGGACGGAAAGACCCCAUGAAGCUUUACUGUAACUUAAUAUUGGGCAGAGUUUAGACAUAUAGAGUAUAGGUGGGAGACUUUGAAGCAACUUCGCUAGGAGUUGUGGAGUCACCAGUGGAAUACCACCUUUGUUUAAAUUCUUCUCUAACUAGUUGCUGUUAUCCAGCAAUAGGACAGUGUUAGGCGGGCAGUUUGACUGGGGCGGUCGCCUCCUAAAAGGUAACGGAGGCGUGCAAAGGUACCCUCAGCACGGUUGGAAAUCGUGUUAAGAGUGUAAUGGUAUAAGGGUGCUUGACUGUGAGACUUACAAGUCGAACAGGUAAGAAAUUAGGUCAUAGUGAUCCGGUGGUUCAGUAUGGAAUGGCCAUCGCUCAACGGAUAAAAGCUACUCUGGGGAUAACAGGCUGAUACUGCCCAAGAGUUCACAUCGACGGCAGUGUUUGGCACCUCGAUGUCGACUCAUCUCAUCCUCGAGCUGAAGCAGGUUCGAAGGGUUCGGCUGUUCGCCGAUUAAAGAGAUACGUGAGUUGGGUUCAAACCGUCGCGAGACAGGUUGGUCCCUAUCUAUUGUGCCCGCAGGAAGAUUGAAAAGAUUUACUCUUAGUACGAGAGGACCGGAGUGAAGACACCUCUUGUGCUCCAGUUGUAGUGCCAACUGCACCGCUGGGUAGCAACGUGUCGAACGGAUAAACGCUGAAAGCAUCUAAGUGUGAAACCGACUUUAAGAUUAAUCUUCCCUUCCAGCAAUGGAGUAAGAAUCGUUGUAGACUACGACGUUGAUAGGCUAAAUGUGUAAGUGCCGUGAGGUAUUUAGCUGAUUAGUACUAAUAAUUCGAGGACUUAGAUUU
This 2809-nucleotide ribosomal RNA is filed under the name Mycoplasma bradburyae. Its description in RNAcentral is "partial 23S ribosomal RNA". It matches the Rfam family "Bacterial large subunit ribosomal RNA". Lineage: Bacteria; Bacillati; Mycoplasmatota; Mollicutes; Mycoplasmatales; Mycoplasmataceae. The record is from RNAcentral.